This 2924-nucleotide ribosomal RNA is filed under the name Staphylococcus aureus. RNAcentral describes it as "23S ribosomal RNA". It matches the Rfam family "Bacterial large subunit ribosomal RNA". Lineage: Bacteria; Bacillati; Bacillota; Bacilli; Caryophanales; Staphylococcaceae. The record is from RNAcentral.
GAUUAAGUUAUUAAGGGCGCACGGUGGAUGCCUUGGCACUAGAAGCCGAUGAAGGACGUUACUAACGACGAUAUGCUUUGGGGAGCUGUAAGUAAGCUUUGAUCCAGAGAUUUCCGAAUGGGGAAACCCAGCAUGAGUUAUGUCAUGUUAUCGAUAUGUGAAUACAUAGCAUAUCAGAAGGCACACCCGGAGAACUGAAACAUCUUAGUACCCGGAGGAAGAAAAAGAAAAUUCGAUUCCCUUAGUAGCGGCGAGCGAAACGGGAAGAGCCCAAACCAACAAGCUUGCUUGUUGGGGUUGUAGGACACUCUAUACGGAGUUACAAAGGACGACAUUAGACGAAUCAUCUGGAAAGAUGAAUCAAAGAAGGUAAUAAUCCUGUAGUCGAAAAUGUUGUCUCUCUUGAGUGGAUCCUGAGUACGACGGAACACGUGAAAUUCCGUCGGAAUCUGGGAGGACCAUCUCCUAAGGCUAAAUACUCUCUAGUGACCGAUAGUGAACCAGUACCGUGAGGGAAAGGUGAAAAGCACCCCGGAAGGGGAGUGAAAUAGAACCUGAAACCGUGUGCUUACAAGUAGUCAGAGCCCGUUAAUGGGUGAUGGCGUGCCUUUUGUAGAAUGAACCGGCGAGUUACGAUUUGAUGCAAGGUUAAGCAGUAAAUGUGGAGCCGUAGCGAAAGCGAGUCUGAAUAGGGCGUUUAGUAUUUGGUCGUAGACCCGAAACCAGGUGAUCUACCCUUGGUCAGGUUGAAGUUCAGGUAACACUGAAUGGAGGACCGAACCGACUUACGUUGAAAAGUGAGCGGAUGAACUGAGGGUAGCGGAGAAAUUCCAAUCGAACCUGGAGAUAGCUGGUUCUCUCCGAAAUAGCUUUAGGGCUAGCCUCAAGUGAUGAUUAUUGGAGGUAGAGCACUGUUUGGACGAGGGGCCCCUCUCGGGUUACCGAAUUCAGACAAACUCCGAAUGCCAAUUAAUUUAACUUGGGAGUCAGAACAUGGGUGAUAAGGUCCGUGUUCGAAAGGGAAACAGCCCAGACCACCAGCUAAGGUCCCAAAAUAUAUGUUAAGUGGAAAAGGAUGUGGCGUUGCCCAGACAACUAGGAUGUUGGCUUAGAAGCAGCCAUCAUUUAAAGAGUGCGUAAUAGCUCACUAGUCGAGUGACACUGCGCCGAAAAUGUACCGGGGCUAAACAUAUUACCGAAGCUGUGGAUUGUCCUUUGGACAAUGGUAGGAGAGCGUUCUAAGGGCGUUGAAGCAUGAUCGUAAGGACAUGUGGAGCGCUUAGAAGUGAGAAUGCCGGUGUGAGUAGCGAAAGACGGGUGAGAAUCCCGUCCACCGAUUGACUAAGGUUUCCAGAGGAAGGCUCGUCCGCUCUGGGUUAGUCGGGUCCUAAGCUGAGGCCGACAGGCGUAGGCGAUGGAUAACAGGUUGAUAUUCCUGUACCACCUAUAAUCGUUUUAAUCGAUGGGGGGACGCAGUAGGAUAGGCGAAGCGUGCGAUUGGAUUGCACGUCUAAGCAGUAAGGCUGAGUAUUAGGCAAAUCCGGUACUCGUUAAGGCUGAGCUGUGAUGGGGAGAAGACAUUGAGUCUUCGAGUCGUUGAUUUCACACUGCCGAGAAAAGCCUCUAGAUAGAAAAAUAGGUGCCCGUACCGCAAACCGACACAGGUAGUCAAGAUGAGAAUUCUAAGGUGAGCGAGCGAACUCUCGUUAAGGAACUCGGCAAAAUGACCCCGUAACUUCGGGAGAAGGGGUGCUCUUUAGGGUUAACGCCCAGAAGAGCCGCAGUGAAUAGGCCCAAGCGACUGUUUAUCAAAAACACAGGUCUCUGCUAAACCGUAAGGUGAUGUAUAGGGGCUGACGCCUGCCCGGUGCUGGAAGGUUAAGAGGAGUGGUUAGCUUCUGCGAAGCUACGAAUCGAAGCCCCAGUAAACGGCGGCCGUAACUAUAACGGUCCUAAGGUAGCGAAAUUCCUUGUCGGGUAAGUUCCGACCCGCACGAAAGGCGUAACGAUUUGGGCACUGUCUCAACGAGAGACUCGGUGAAAUCAUAGUACCUGUGAAGAUGCAGGUUACCCGCGACAGGACGGAAAGACCCCGUGGAGCUUUACUGUAGCCUGAUAUUGAAAUUCGGCACAGCUUGUACAGGAUAGGUAGGAGCCUUUGAAACGUGAGCGCUAGCUUACGUGGAGGCGCUGGUGGGAUACUACCCUAGCUGUGUUGGCUUUCUAACCCGCACCACUUAUCGUGGUGGGAGACAGUGUCAGGCGGGCAGUUUGACUGGGGCGGUCGCCUCCUAAAAGGUAACGGAGGCGCUCAAAGGUUCCCUCAGAAUGGUUGGAAAUCAUUCAUAGAGUGUAAAGGCAUAAGGGAGCUUGACUGCGAGACCUACAAGUCGAGCAGGGUCGAAAGACGGACUUAGUGAUCCGGUGGUUCCGCAUGGAAGGGCCAUCGCUCAACGGAUAAAAGCUACCCCGGGGAUAACAGGCUUAUCUCCCCCAAGAGUUCACAUCGACGGGGAGGUUUGGCACCUCGAUGUCGGCUCAUCGCAUCCUGGGGCUGUAGUCGGUCCCAAGGGUUGGGCUGUUCGCCCAUUAAAGCGGUACGCGAGCUGGGUUCAGAACGUCGUGAGACAGUUCGGUCCCUAUCCGUCGUGGGCGUAGGAAAUUUGAGAGGAGCUGUCCUUAGUACGAGAGGACCGGGAUGGACAUACCUCUGGUGUACCAGUUGUCGUGCCAACGGCAUAGCUGGGUAGCUAUGUGUGGACGGGAUAAGUGCUGAAAGCAUCUAAGCAUGAAGCCCCCCUCAAGAUGAGAUUUCCCAACUUCGGUUAUAAGAUCCCUCAAAGAUGAUGAGGUUAAUAGGUUCGAGGUGGAAGCAUGGUGACAUGUGGAGCUGACGAAUACUAAUCGAUCGAAGACUUAAUCAA